GGUGUUACGCCAACAGGUGGAUGGCUCGGCUCAAGAGCUGACGAAGGACGUG
RNAcentral lists this ribosomal RNA (52 nucleotides) under uncultured Methanimicrococcus sp. Its description in RNAcentral is "partial 23S ribosomal RNA". The record is from RNAcentral. Lineage: Archaea; Methanobacteriati; Methanobacteriota; Methanomicrobia; Methanosarcinales; Methanosarcinaceae.